AUAAGGGAAGUCUUUGGCAGUUGCAUCAAGCUCAGAUUGCACUCAAUUAGGAAGAACUAGUAGCAUGAGGCUGAAGUUAGAGAGUGCACGUGUUGAUCAUCGUCAGGCAAAGUCCUUUUCAGUUCCUCUUGGGAAACCCAAGAAGAAGCCCCGGAUUAGGGUGCCUGAAGCCAUUAAAAAACCAGUAUUGCCUCAAGAUUUUGUUGAAAAACAGAAAGCCUACUUUGCGGAGAUCGAUGCUUUUGAACUUCCAGAGGAGGUUGUAUCAGAGAGUGAAUUGGAAUAGCAGGAUAAACAUUGAGGGACUUGUAGAUUACUAACAGUAAACCCUCCUGUUACUAGGUCCAGUUAGCAUGUAAAUUUGGUGUAUAUACAGACUUCUUGCUGACACCCUUUUGUAAUUACAAUGCAACUAUUGACACGCAUGGAAAUAAAAUGACUUUCGUGGCAGCAUUUGUCAUCUUGCCUGCAAGCCCACCUGUUCAGAGUGGCAGGAGUAUGCAAAAUUCAAUGCUUUGGUUUCACCAGUUCUUAUGCAACGAUUGAUGACUUCUGCCAGAAAACCGAUGAAGCUCAUGACUUCAGUUCAUCGUUCUGUCUAUCGUGGCCAAUGAAGUUAAAUGUCACCAGCAUCAUUGCAUUUUGGAAGAUUGUCCAGCUUCAAAGGUAGAUGAUCAUGUGCAUUGUGAU
Long non-coding RNA from Dioscorea cayenensis subsp. rotundata (Guinea yam), 690 nucleotides. RefSeq lists it as uncharacterized. NCBI's taxonomy places the organism in Eukaryota, Viridiplantae, Streptophyta, Magnoliopsida, Dioscoreales, Dioscoreaceae. The record is from RefSeq and is a predicted model, not a curated record. The transcript is spliced from 5 exons.